CAGCACUUUGGGAGGCUGAGGCGGGGGGAUCACGAGGUCAGGAGAUCGAGACCAUUGUGGCUAACACGGUGAAAACCCAUCUCUACUAAAAAUACAAAAAAUUAGCUGGGCGUGGUGGCACGCACCUGUAGUCCCAGUUACUCGGGAGGCUGAGACAGGAGAAUCACUUGAACCUGGGAGGCGGAGCUUGCAGUGAGCCGAGAUUGUGCCACUGCAUUCCAACCUGGGCGACAGAGCAAGACUCCAUCUCAAAAAAAAAAAAAAAAAAAAAAAAGAUACCUCAGUUAUGUUAUCAGUAAAAGGGGAUUGCAAAUAUCUUUUAAAUAAAAAUUUGCAUUCUAUAUGUUAUAGAAUACAGAGGAUAUUAAAAAUAAAUUUUAUCCAUGUUUUGACAAUUUCUUUCUUUUAACUGUUUACAUAUUGAAGCACAAAUGCUAAACAUAAGUCAGAAUGGAAGAAUAUUUAAAAUAAUGACUGUGUUUAUAUCUGAUUUAUUUCAGAUUACCCAAAGUGCAUCUUGCCAGGUUAUCUUCCAUUUGAAGACUGACAUUUUAUUUCUUUUUUGAUCUUUAUUGUUCCUCUCUUCCACCUCUCAGUGGGUAUAGCUCUCUGGUCUGUAGAAUGGGACAGUGGUCUGGUUUCCAGAUUGAUAAGUGAGGUAUACCUCCUAGUUUUCAAUAAUUACCUGUAGAAGGUGGAGAAGUUACUGGAUAUGUUUAAUAAUAUCUCAUUACAUUCUUUUUUUUUUUUUUUUUUUUUUUUUAAUGAGAGUCUUAACUCUGUCACCCAAGCUGGAGUGCAGUGGUGCAAUCUCGGCUCACUGCAAUCUCCACCUCUGGGUUCAAGCGAUUUUCCCGAGUCAUCUUUCCAAGUAAUUGGGAUUACAGCUAUGUGCUACCAUGCCCAGCUGAGUUUUGUAUUUUUCUUUCUUUUCUUUCUUUUUUUUUUUUUUUGAGACAGAGCCUCACUCUGUUGCCCAGCCUGGGUGACAGAGUGAGACUCUGUCCCAAAAAUAAAAAAUAAAAAUAAAUGAAUAUAUAAAAUAAAAAAUAUAUGUAUACAUAUCAUAUCUAUAUAUAAAAUAAAACUUAUGAAUAGUUUUUAUGGCUGGGUGAAGUGACUCAUGUCUGUAAUUCUAGCCCUUUAGGAGGCUGAGUGAGGAGGAUCACUUGAGCGUAGGCAUUCGAGCCCAGCCUGGGCAACAUUGCAAGACUCUGUCUCAUUUUUUUAUAUAAAAUGUUUUUUUAAAAAACCCUAUGUAUAAUUAUUUAUUUUUUUCCCCCAAGGAUUAUUCCCAAACUAUGUACAAUUAAUAGGUUGCCUUGCAGAGUUGGAUCAAUAAUACCUGACACACUUGUAUAGCAAGCAUACACUUUACAUAGUUCCUCGCAUCUAUUCUUUGAAACCCAGACACAUUCUAGUAUUGGGCACUAGAAACUGGUGAUAAAUAAUAACAAUUACGUAUAUUUCCUGAAGAAUUAUGUGGCAUUCCUUGUUUUAAGCACCUUUGAUGCCUUAGCUCAAUCUCCAUUACAAUACUAUGAUAUAAGUACCAUUUAAUAUUUCUUUUUGACAGAUGGGAAUAAUCGAGGCCUAGGGAGAUUAAAUUACUUGGCCAGGUUCAUGUAAGUGGCAGAUCUAGGAUUCAAAUUCAGCCGGUCUGAAUCUAGAGCCUAUUCUUUUAGCUAUGAUGCUAUACUUUAAUACAGUAAUACACUGUUCAAAUGAAACUGUAACAUGUCAUUAAAUUUGAACUUGUCAAUAAACAUACCAAGCAAUAAAAUA
RNAcentral lists this small RNA (1785 nucleotides) under Pan troglodytes (chimpanzee). RNAcentral describes it as "processed transcript". The record is from RNAcentral. Lineage: Eukaryota; Metazoa; Chordata; Mammalia; Primates; Hominidae.